Molecule: ribosomal RNA, 1345 nt
Filed under: Segatella copri
Lineage: Bacteria; Pseudomonadati; Bacteroidota; Bacteroidia; Bacteroidales; Prevotellaceae
Description: partial 23S ribosomal RNA
Rfam family: Bacterial large subunit ribosomal RNA
Source: RNAcentral
AGAGCUAACGCAGGGAACUGAAACAUCUUAGUACCUGCAGGAAGAGAAAAUAAAUGAAUGAUUCCCCCAGUAGUGGCGAGCGAACGGGGAACAGCCCAAACCAGUGGCGUCGCAAGGCGUGGCUGGGGUUGUAGGACCGCGACAUUGUAUGCAAAUCGUGAACAGAACACUUUGGAAAAUGUGACCAUAGACGGUGAUAGUCCAGUAUGUGAAGCGAAAUGCGGCAUAGCGGUAUCCUGAGUAACGCGGGACACGAGGAAUCCUGCGCGAAUCUGCCGGGACCAUCCGGUAAGGCUAAAUACUCCCGUGAGACCGAUAGCGAACGAGUACUGUGAAGGAAAGGUGAAAAGAACCCCGAGCAGGGGAGUGAAAUAGUUCCUGAAACCAUACGCCUACAAGCGGUCGGAGCACAGCAAUGUGUGACGGCGUGCCUUUUGCAUAAUGAUCCUACGAGUUACCGUCACUGGCGAGGUUGAGUGUCAUGAGACACGUAGCCGCAGUGAAAGCGAGCCUGAAGAGGGCGCACAGUCAGUGGGGGUAGACGCGAAACCAAGUGAUCUACACUUGGCCAGGAUGAAGUCCCGGUAACACGGGAUGGAGGUCCGCACCAAUAAGCGUUGAAAAGCUUCUGGAUGAGCCGAGUGUAGGAGUGAAAGGCCAAUCAAACUUGGAGAUAGCUCGUACUCCCCGAAAGGCAUUUAGGUGCCGCGUCGGAUGGUCACCGUGAGAGGUAGAGCGACCGAUAGGACAAGAGGGCUUCACCGCCUAUCGAGUCCUGACGAACUCCGAAUGCUCACGGUCUGCAGUCCGGCAGUAAGGGGGCGGGUGCUAAGGUCCGUCCCCGAGAGGAGAAGAAUCCAGACCGCCGUCUAAGGUCCCGGAGUUCUGCCUGAGUUAGUCUAACGAAGUCUGGUCCCUAUGACAGCUAGGAUGUUGGCUUGGAAGCAGCCAUUCAUUCAAAGAGUGCGUAACAGCUCACUAGUCGAGGGUCCGGGCAUGGAUAAUAAUCGGGUAUAAGGCAGACACCGAAGGCGCGGGAUAGCAAUUUUAAAAGUAUCGGUAGGGGAGCAUACUCACAGCGUCGAAUGGUGUACGUAAGUUAUCCUGGAGCGGUGAGUAAAGCAAAUGUAGGAAUAAGUAACGAUAAGGGGGGUUAGAUUCCCUCCCGCUGUAAGACCAAGGUUUCCCGGGCAAUGCCAAUCAGCCCGGGGUCAGUCGGGUCCUAAGUCUAAGCCGAACGGCGAUGGCGAUGGCAGAGACGGUUAAUAUUCCGUCACUGCCGCAUGGGGCGACGUGGAGACGGAGCAGUGAAACCACCGCGGGGCGACGGAAGUCCCCGUUGAAG